This 231-nucleotide ribosomal RNA is filed under the name uncultured bacterium. RNAcentral's name for it is "partial 16S ribosomal RNA". It matches the Rfam family "Bacterial small subunit ribosomal RNA", at positions 99 to 334 of the family's 1533-position model. The record is from RNAcentral.
CGGACGGGUGAGUAAUGUCUGGGAAACUGCCCGAUGGAGGGGGAUAACUACUGGAAACGGUAGCUAAUACCGCAUGACGUCGCAAGACCAAAGAGGGGACCUUCGGGCCUCUUGCCAUCGGAUGUGCCCAGAUGGGAUUAGCUAGUAGGUGGGGUAACGGCUCACCUAGGCGACGAUCCCUAGCUGGUCUGAGAGGAUGACCAGCCACACUGGAACUGAGACACGGUCCAG